This 548-nucleotide ribosomal RNA is filed under the name uncultured bacterium. RNAcentral describes it as "bacterial SSU rRNA". It matches the Rfam family "Bacterial small subunit ribosomal RNA", at positions 355 to 895 of the family's 1533-position model. The record is from RNAcentral.
UAGGGAAUCUUCGGCAAUGGGGGCAACCCUGACCGAGCAACGCCGCGUGAGUGAAGAAGGUUUUCGGAUCGUAAAGCUCUGUUGUAAGUCAAGAACGAGUGUGAGAGUGGAAAGUUCACACUGUGACGGUAGCUUACCAGAAAGGGACGGCUAACUACGUGCCAGCAGCCGCGGUAAUACGUAGGUCCCGAGCGUUGUCCGGAUUUAUUGGGCGUAAAGCGAGCGCAGGCGGUUUGAUAAGUCUGAAGUUAAAGGCUGUGGCUCAACCAUAGUUCGCUUUGGAAACUGUCAAACUUGAGUGCAGAAGGGGAGAGUGGAAUUCCAUGUGUGGCGGUGAAAUGCGUAAAUAUAUGGAGGAACACCGGUGGCGAAAGCGGCUCUCUGGUCUGUAGCUGACGCUGAGGCUCGAAAGCGUGGGGAGCGAACAGGAUUAGAUACCCUGGUAGUCCACGCCGUAAACGAUGAGUGCUAGGUGUUGGAUCCUUUCCGGGAUUCAGUGCCGCAGCUAACGCAUUAAGCACUCCGCCUGGGGAGUACGACCGCAGGUU